Molecule: unclassified non-coding RNA, 151 nt
Organism: Macaca fascicularis (crab-eating macaque)
Lineage: Eukaryota; Metazoa; Chordata; Mammalia; Primates; Cercopithecidae
Rfam family: Metazoan signal recognition particle RNA
About the family: The signal recognition particle (SRP) is a universally conserved ribonucleoprotein. It is involved in the co-translational targeting of proteins to membranes.
Source: Ensembl
GCCGGGCAUGGUGGCGUGUGCCUGUGGUCCCAGCUACUCGGGAGGCUGAGGUGGGAGGAUUGCUUGAGCCCAGGAGGUGGUGGAGGUUGCAGUGAGCUGAGAUCAUGCCACUGCACCGCAGCCUGGGUGAGAGAGCAAGAUCCUGUCUCAA